This 164-nucleotide ribosomal RNA is filed under the name Eragrostis barrelieri. RNAcentral describes it as "5.8S ribosomal RNA". It matches the Rfam family "5.8S ribosomal RNA". From Rfam's summary of the family: 5.8S ribosomal RNA (5.8S rRNA) is a component of the large subunit of the eukaryotic ribosome. It is transcribed by RNA polymerase I as part of the 45S precursor that also contains 18S and 28S rRNA. Functionally, it is thought that 5.8S rRNA may be involved in ribosome translocation. The record is from RNAcentral. Lineage: Eukaryota; Viridiplantae; Streptophyta; Magnoliopsida; Poales; Poaceae. RNAcentral also lists the same sequence under 1 other name.
CACAUGACUCUCGGCAACGGAUAUCUCGGCUCUCGCAUCGAUGAAGAACGUAGCAAAAUGCGAUACCUGGUGUGAAUUGCAGAAUCCCGUGAACCAUCGAGUUUUUGAACGCAAGUUGCGCCCGAGACCUUCUGGUCGAGGGCACGUCUGCCUGGGCGUCACGC